Long non-coding RNA from Cercocebus atys (sooty mangabey), 663 nucleotides. RefSeq lists it as uncharacterized. The record is from RefSeq and is a predicted model, not a curated record. NCBI's taxonomy places the organism in Eukaryota, Metazoa, Chordata, Mammalia, Primates, Cercopithecidae. The transcript has 4 exons.
CCUUUGACGCCCGCGCGCCUCGAGCGAGGCGUCCCCCGGCGCGGGGCCGCGCGCGGGAGAGCCCGAGUGCAGCCUUAGCGUCCCCGAGAGUCUCGAACGCCCCGACGACCCCCGCGUCUCCGAACCCCGGACUCGGAGCCCAGGAGCGCCAGGGCGGCAGGCGGGCAGUAGGAGGCGGCGGCGCCGGAGCGGAACCACCGCGAGUGCCCCCGUGCCGCCCGGCCGGCUGCAGCGGAGGGAACUGGAGCAGCCGGGGGGCCGGGGCCGGGCCGAGAACAACGCGGAGGAAGCCCCCACGGAGGCCCCCCGGGACCGCGCCUGCUGCCGGGUUGCGCUCCGCGCCCCUCUUGCGGAUUCCCUGUAAGGAGCCCCUGCUGGUGCACCAGAACUACCGGGGGCCAUCUGCCCAACUGCCCCAGACUCUGGCAGUGGGGCCCCCGAUGGCAGUGGGCACCUCCCCGUGAAACCUGCCAAACUGGACGCCACAGCUCUGCACGACGACACUUUGGCCAACUCCGUGCCCCCUUCGGAGGCAUGCAACCAUGCAGUCCUAGCCUGCAGCCCGGGCAUCCCUGAGGAACACUACAUAAGCGAGGCUGUGGAAGAUGCUCCCAGCUACAGAGGGUACCGGGAUGCCUGCACCAUUACUGAUGUGUGCAACAG